GAAACAACUACCGUCCACGAAGGAUUAUAUUUAUUGCUAUUUUAUUUUAUACUUACCAGAAUCUGAUUUCUCUAUUAGAUGUGUUGAAGUCAAAGAUAAUACUGGAUUUUUGUUCGACCUUAUACUUUUCUGCUGAAGCUCCAUAACGGUCAACACGUAUAAUACCUCUCUGGGAACCUAUUUGUGCAUUCAUGAAGGAUGAAACCCGAAGUUGACGAACAGAGAAAAAGUCAUAUCUUGGGAUAUGGACCGAUACAUCAGUUGAUCUUUGAAUAAGAGAAACUCAGCAACCGCUGCAAGAAUUGAAAUGCCGAAAAUCAUUUGA
This is a long non-coding RNA of Bolinopsis microptera, 325 nucleotides long. RefSeq lists it as uncharacterized. The record is from RefSeq and is a predicted model, not a curated record. Lineage: Eukaryota; Metazoa; Ctenophora; Tentaculata; Lobata; Bolinopsidae. The transcript has 3 exons.